This 295-nucleotide long non-coding RNA is filed under the name Physcomitrium patens. RNAcentral describes it as "long non-coding RNA (PPAT_LNC008585)". Lineage: Eukaryota; Viridiplantae; Streptophyta; Bryopsida; Funariales; Funariaceae. The record is from RNAcentral.
CUAUUAAAAUCUUUUGCCUCAAUCAAACUAAUUGACAAUCUUAUUGAUGCCAAGUAGUACCAUGUUAAGCUGCUCACUAAGCAAAAGAAUACCAAAAAAAAUUAAGAUUGCACAACCAUACAUGAGGCUUCCAACUAUGUACAAUAAGAAAAAAAUAAGACAUCUUAACUAUGGCUCCUCUACAAUAGCUUGUUGCAUUAUAGAUCUAUACAUUUUACUUAGUAGCUUAGUUCAAAGAUGACUUCUAAUCAUCCACGGAACCAUCCAAGCUCCUACUUCCUCACAAAGUCAUAGA